Molecule: long non-coding RNA, 626 nt
Organism: Odontomachus brunneus
Lineage: Eukaryota; Metazoa; Arthropoda; Insecta; Hymenoptera; Formicidae
Exons: 2
Source: RefSeq, a predicted model, not a curated record
CUCUCGUGAUAGGGGGGUCUGGGGGGCGAAGCCCCCCAGUUACAUAGCUAGAGAUAGAUGGUGACAGAUUUUCUAACCUAACACGUCCUCAACUUUAUCUAUUAAUAUCUCGCUUCGCAGUAGAGAGAUAUUAAUCGCGACGAUUUUAUCAGAGGAAAAAAUUUGGCAUGCACAAACGCGUCGAUUGAGCUCUCUUUUAUUAAAAUCGGAGGUGAGGUAGCUCUUCUGAACAAUUACCCUAACGCGUCUUCAACUUUAUCGAUUAAUAUCUCGCUUCGCGGGGCAGAGCCCCAAUUUUCUUAAAGGAAAAAGUUGUUACUCGUGCAAAUACCUUUCGAAUGAGCCUACAUUCAUCGAAAUCGGAGACAUAAGAAAUAGAUGCAACAUAUCAUAUAUACUUCUUUAGGAAAUAAAUUGGAUUUGGCAGAACGGAAAAGGAGACAAAACAUCAGUGAUCCUCUGUUCUUUGUUGUGUGUGCAUUAAUGUCAGUAAUAGCUGGCAAGUGACAAUUUAAAUGUAAUUUAAAUGUAUGAUAAGAUGUAGCGCCUAAUUAUGUAAAUGUUAUUCUAUAUUUUCUUUAAAACCUUCAUUUAAAUAAAAAUUUAUGUAAUUUCAUUAAUCUGAA